This 497-nucleotide ribosomal RNA is filed under the name uncultured bacterium. Its description in RNAcentral is "partial 16S ribosomal RNA". It matches the Rfam family "Bacterial small subunit ribosomal RNA", at positions 28 to 507 of the family's 1533-position model. The record is from RNAcentral.
GAUGAACGCUGGCGGCGUGCCUAAUACAUGCAAGUCGAGCGAACGGACGAGAAGCUUGCUUCUCUGAUGUUAGCGGCGGACGGGUGAGUAACACGUGGAUAACCUACCUAUAAGACUGGGAUAACUUCGGGAAACCGGAGCUAAUACCGGAUAAUAUUUUGAACCGCAUGGUUCAAAAGUGAAAGACGGUCUUGCUGUCACUUAUAGAUGGAUCCGCGCUGCAUUAGCUAGUUGGUAAGGUAACGGCUUACCAAGGCAACGAUGCAUAGCCGACCUGAGAGGGUGAUCGGCCACACUGGAAGUGAGACACGGUCCAGACUCCGACGGGGGGAAGCAGUAGGGAAUCUUCCGCGAUGGGGGAAAGCCUGACGGAGCAACGCGGCGUGAGUGAUGAAGGUCUUCGGAUCGUAAAACGCUGUUAUUAGGGGAGAACAUAUGUGUAAGUAACUGUGCACAUCUUGACGGUACCGAGUCAGAAAGCCACGGCUAACUACGUG